This 621-nucleotide ribosomal RNA is filed under the name Lutjanus vitta (brownstripe red snapper). RNAcentral describes it as "partial large subunit ribosomal RNA". It matches the Rfam family "Bacterial large subunit ribosomal RNA", at positions 1796 to 2620 of the family's 2925-position model. The record is from RNAcentral. Lineage: Eukaryota; Metazoa; Chordata; Actinopteri; Lutjaniformes; Lutjanidae.
UCGCCUGUUUUAUCAAAAACAUCGCCUCUUGCAAAAUCAAUAAAUAAGAGGUCCCGCCUGCCCUGUGACUAUAAGUUUAACGGCCGCGGUAUUUUGACCGUGCGAAGGUAGCGCAAUCACUUGUCUUUUAAAUGGAGACCUGUAUGAAUGGCAUGACGAGGGCUUAGCUGUCUCCUAUUUCCAGUCAAUGAAAUUGAUCUCCCCGUGCAGAAGCGGGGAUGCGUACAUAAGACGAGAAGACCCUAUGGAGCUUUAGACACCAAGGCAGACCAUGUUAAACACUCCAAAACAAAGGACUAAACCAAAUGAUCCCUGCCCUAAUGUCUUUGGUUGGGGCGACCGCGGGGAAACACAAAACCCCCACGUGGAACGAGAACACCUCUUCUCACAACCAAGAGCUCCCGCUCUACUAAACAGAAAAUCUGACCAAUCAGAUCCGGCACAAGCCGAUCAACGGACCGAGUUACCCUAGGGAUAACAGCGCAAUCCCCUUUUAGAGACCAUAUCGACAAGGGGGUUUACGACCUCGAUGUUGGAUCAGGACAUCCUAAUGGUGCAGCCGCUAUUAAGGGUUCGUUUGUUCAACGAUUAAAGUCCUACGUGAUCUGAGUCCAGACCGGA